This 3481-nucleotide long non-coding RNA is filed under the name Homo sapiens (human). RNAcentral describes it as "HSALNT0283232". The record is from RNAcentral. Lineage: Eukaryota; Metazoa; Chordata; Mammalia; Primates; Hominidae.
AUGAAUAUCUACUGAGCCCAGAGCCUUACCAAGCCUAGAGCACUGAGAACUUGCUGGAUCUGGAAAAGAACUGGGUGGCUUUGCCAUGUCAGCUUGCUCUGCAUAUCUCAGACUUUGUCAUUUUUGCAAUGUGAAAACAACAAGAGCAAAACACUUCAGGAGGUCAUCUACAUUUCUUGGCUCAUGGCCCCUUUCCUUCAUCUUCAAAGCCAGCAGCAUGGAAUGUUCAAAUCUCUCUCCCACUCUGACAUUCUUAUCUCCCUCUUAUAAGGACCAUUGUGAUUACACUGAGGCUAUUCGGACAUUCCAGGAAAAUCUUCCCAUUUUAAGAUCCUUAAAUUAAUCACAUUUAUAAAGUGCUUUUUGCCACAUAAGGUAACAUGUUCACAGGUCCAGGGAAUCAGGAUGUGAACAUCUUGGGGGUCUUUAUUCAUCUUACCACAGCAUAUUUUCAUAAGAUGAAGCUCAGUGCCUAAAGUGAAAAAAUGCUUAAAGGAAGGGUUAGAUGUUUGCAAGACCUUGUGAGUACAGAGAAUAAUGGGGUGCCCCAAAUAUUAACACCACCUUAAGCUGUGUUAAUAAGUAUAGAAUGUCCAGAAUGUGGGAGGAGACAGUGCUGAACUAGGCCAAGAGACUGUGGACUAAGAGGACAUGCGACAUACUGAGACACUAGCUGGGGCAGCCAAGGGAGUGCUGGCAUCACCCAUCCUCAACCCUAGGCUUCACAGCUCAGUUCCAAAAGAGACUCCUUCAUUCUGCUUGAGGAGAGGAAAGGGAAAUGUGCAGAGGACUUUGUCUUGCAUCUAGGAUACUGGAUACCAGCUCAGCCACAGCAGGAUAGGGCACUGGCCAGAGUCAUGAGGUCCCUGUUCCAGGAUCUAGCUCCAUGACAACAUUUUGAGACACACCUUGGGCCAUAAGGAAACUUGCUGCCUUGAAGAAAAGGGCCCAGUCAUGACAGCAUUCAUCACCUGCUAACUGAAGAACUCUUCGGUCUUAAUCAGAACCGAUACCCAGGUCCUACAUCCAGGGUCUUGGGUGAGCCUCUGAGACUUGCUGGCUUCAGGUGAAACUCAGAACAUUACUAGCUGUUGUGGCUAUGGGGUGAAACUCCUUCUGUUAGAGAAAAAGAGAGGAAAAUGUAAAGGGGGCUUUGUUUUGCACCUUAGGCACGAGCACAGCCAUAGUGGGGGUAGAGAACCUGGGAACUGAGUGAACAUAGGCAGUAGCCAGGGAAUGGUAACAGCAGGACUUGGACAAGACCCAGUGCUGUGCUGGCUUCAGGUCUGACCCAGUGCAGUCAUAGAUGUGGUGGCCACAGGGCUAUCUGUUUCACUCCAUCCCAGUUUUAGGUGGCUCAGAACACAGACAGACUCUAUGUUUGGGAGAAAGUAAGGGAAGAGAACAACCGCCUCUGCCUGGUAAUCCAGAGAAUUAUCCCAGAUCUUGUCCAAGACCAUCAAGGCAGUACUUCUACAAGUCUGCAAGAAUCACAGUAUUAUUGGGCUUGGGGUACCCUGUAAAGCAUAUACCAUUUAGAUAACAAUAUCAAAGUUCUUUCAAAUACCUGAAAAACUUUCCCAAGAAAUAUGGCUACAAAAACCCCAGAGAGUGAAGACUAUAAUAAAUACCUAACUGUUUAAUGCCCAAACACUGAAGGACAUCUACUAGCAUCAACACUAUGCAGGAAAACAUGAACUUACAAAUUGAACUAAGUAAGGCACCAGGGACCAAUCCUCGAGAAAUAAAGAUAUGGGACUCUUCACACAGAGAAUUCAAAAUAGCUGUGUUGAGGAAACUCAAAGAAAUUCAAUAUAACACAGAGAACUAAUUCAGAAUUCUAUAAGAUAAAUUUAACAAAUAUAUUAAACCAAUUAAAAAUGAUCAAGCAGAAAUUUUGGACCUGAACAAAGCAACUGGCAUACCGAAGAAAGAAUCAGAGCCCUUUAAUAGCAGAAUUGAUCAAGAAGAAGAAAGAUUUAGUCAGCUUGAAGACAGACUAUUUGAAAAUACACAGAGGACACAAAAGAGAAAAGAAUAAAAAGAUGAAGCAUGCUUACAGGAUCUAUAAAAUAUCUUCAAAAGGGCAAAUCUAAGAGUUAUUGGCCUUAAAGAGAAAGUAGGAAAAGAGAUAAGGUAGAAAGUUUAUUCAAAGGGAUAAUAACAGGGAACUUCCCAAACCUAGAGAAAGAUAUCAAUAUCCAAGUAGAAGAAGGUUGUAGAAUACCAAGCAAAUUUAACCCAAAGAGGACUACCUCAAGGCAUUUAAUAAUCAAACUCCCAAAGGUUAAAGAUAAAGAAAGGAUCCUAAAAUCAACAAGAGAAAAGAAACAAAUAGCAUACAAUGGAGCUGAAAUACAUCUGGCAGCAGACUUUUCAGUGGAAACCCUAUAGGUCAGGAGACAGUGCCAUGACAUUUGAAGUGCCAAAGGAAAGAAAAGUAAACAUUUACCCUAACAUAGUAUAUCAAGUGGAAAUAUCCUCUAAACAUAAAGGAGAAAAAAAAAGACUUUCUCAGACAAACCCAAGUUGAAGGAUUGUGUUAAUACCAGACCUGUCCUACAAGAAAUGCUAAACGGAGUACUUCAUUCAGAAAGGAAAAGAUACUAAUGAGCAAUAAAUAAUCACCUGAAGGUACCAAACUUACUGACAAUAGCAAGUGCACAGGAAAACAUACACUUAUUGUAACACUGUAAUUGUGGUGUAUAAACUAGUCUUAUUCUAAGCAGAAAGAUUAAAUGAUGAACCAAUCAAAAAUAAUAACUACAACAGCUUUUCAAGAUAUAGAUAGUACAAUAAGAUAUCAAUAUUAUACAAACAAUGAAAAGUUAAAAAGUGAUGGUAAGAAGUUAAGAAUCUUUGGCUUCGCAUGGGUCUUAAGCGGUUUGCUCAUUACACCUUCCAGGCUCCAGAGAGGCUGUCCCUAACCAGCUAGAGAUCUAUACUUGAAGGCCAUUAUCAGCAAAGACUUGAUAUACCCAAUAAAGGAGCUUGCUGAACUCAUCUCAGCUGUGAUGGGCAUGAAACUCUUCCACAGAUUAUCUCAGCUCAGUCAGUUAAGCCACAUUUAUUAAGCACCCACUUUGCAGAAUUCAUUGUGGAACCAGGACUUUGAAUAGGAUUAAGCAGACAAAAAGGAAUGGAGAUGCUGGGAUGAUGGGCCAAAACCAAGAAGAAGUUUAAUUGGAAUAUACAUGUAAGGUUAUGCACUUGUUUCUAAACACAGAAACAAACAAACAACAAUUAUAACAAAACGAUGGCAGCAAAGAAAGGAAAUGCGCUUAGUAUUGGCCUCUAUACUCAAAGGUUAGGGAAUUUACUUACCUGCAAAUUUAGUAUGAGUCAGUGGAAAAAUGUGGCUAAUGAAAGAAAUGUGUUUUAAACUGUAUAAAUAGAAACAUAACUAAAUAAUGUUUAAAUAUUCAUAGUAGUCUAAAUAUAGUAAAAUGGUGCAUAUUUAUUUUAAAGAAUAAAUAAUUUU